Molecule: unclassified non-coding RNA, 511 nt
Filed under: Hevea brasiliensis (rubber tree)
Lineage: Eukaryota; Viridiplantae; Streptophyta; Magnoliopsida; Malpighiales; Euphorbiaceae
Source: RNAcentral
GUUCUAAAUGCAUUGUCCACUGGAAAUGGUGGAACAAUUGAACUGCUUUACAUGCAGCUUUAUGCACCUACAACUUUGGCACCAGCUCGCGACUUCUGGUUACUGCGCUACACUUCUGUUUUGGAGGAUGGUAGUCUUGUGGUUUGUGAGAGAUCACUUAACAACACUCAGAAUGGUCCAAGUAUGCCACCUACACAGCAUUUUGUGAGGGCAGAAAUGCUACCUGGUGGAUAUCUAAUUAGACCUUGUGAAGGAGGUGGAUCAAUUAUUCAUAGUAGUAGAUCAUGUGGACUUGGAGCCUUGGAGUGUGCCUGAAGUGUUGCGCCCACUUUAUGAGUCAUCAACAUUGCUAGCUCAAAAGACAACAAUGGCGGCUUUACGACAUUUGAGGCAAAUUUCACAAGAAGUUUCUCAGCCAAAUGCCUCUGGUUGGGGNNNNNNNNUUACGUGCACUUAGUCAGAGACUGAGCAAGGGCUUUAAUGAAGCUGUUAAUGGGUUUACUGAUGAGGG